UCGGGAAUUUUGGGCAAUGGGCGAAAGCCUGACCCAGCAACGCCGCGUGAAGGAUGAAGUAUUUCGGUAUGUAAACUUCGAAAGAAUAGGAAGAAUAAAUGACGGUACUAUUUAUAAGGUCCGGCUAACUACGUGCCAGCAGCCGCGGUAAUACGUAGGGACCAAGCGUUGUUCGGAUUUACUGGGCGUAAAGGGCGCGUAGGCGGAUUGUUAAGUCAGAGGUGAAAUCCCGGAGCUCAACUUCGGAACUGCCUUUGAUACUGGCAAUCUAGAGUCCGGAAGAGGUUAGUGGAAUUCCCAGUGUAGAGGUGAAAUUCGUAGAUAUUGGGAAGAACACCAGUGGCGAAGGCGGCUAACUGGUCCGGUACUGACGCUGAGGUGCGAAAGCGUGGGGAGCAAACAGGAUUAGAUACCCCAGUAGUCCCUGAGCGGGCUGGCAAGGCGCAU
This 447-nucleotide ribosomal RNA is filed under the name uncultured bacterium. Its description in RNAcentral is "bacterial SSU rRNA". It matches the Rfam family "Bacterial small subunit ribosomal RNA", at positions 355 to 825 of the family's 1533-position model. The record is from RNAcentral.